GGGCACUUGGCGCAGCUGGUAGCGCGCUCGCUUCGCACAGAGUCCCGGCCUGCCCCGCCUGGAGUGCCUGCGAGAGGUCGUGGGUUCAAAUCCCACAGUGUCCA
RNAcentral lists this transfer RNA (104 nucleotides) under Pleurotus eryngii. It matches the Rfam family "tRNA". Rfam says of the family: Transfer RNA (tRNA) molecules are approximately 80 nucleotides in length. Their secondary structure includes four short double-helical elements and three loops (D, anti-codon, and T loops). Further hydrogen bonds mediate the characteristic L-shaped molecular structure. tRNAs have two regions of fundamental functional importance: the anti-codon, which is responsible for specific mRNA codon recognition, and the 3' end, to which the tRNAs corresponding amino acid is attached (by aminoacyl-tRNA synthetases). tRNAs cope with the degeneracy of the genetic code in two manners: having more than one tRNA (with a specific anti-codon) for a particular amino acid; and 'wobble' base-pairing, i.e. permitting non-standard base-pairing at the 3rd anti-codon position. The record is from Rfam by way of RNAcentral. Lineage: Eukaryota; Fungi; Basidiomycota; Agaricomycetes; Agaricales; Pleurotaceae.